Molecule: small nuclear RNA, 111 nt
Organism: Ursus americanus (American black bear)
Lineage: Eukaryota; Metazoa; Chordata; Mammalia; Carnivora; Ursidae
Source: Ensembl
GUGCUGGUAUUGGCAGCAGCAUAUGUGCUAAAAUUUUACUGAUAUACAGAAGAUUAGCAUGGCCCUGUAUGCAAAGAUGAAACACAAAUUCAUGAAGUGUUUCAUAUUUUU